GAUGAACGCUGGCGGCGUGCCUAAUACAUGCAAGUCGAGCGAACGGACGAGAAGCUUGCUUCUCUGAUGUUAGCGGCGGACGGGUGAGUAACACGUGGAUAACCUACCUAUAAGACUGGGAUAACUUCGGGAAACCGGAGCUAAUACCGGAUAAUAUUUUGAACCGCAUGGUUCAAAAGUGAAAGACGGUCUUGCUGUCACUUAUAGAUGGAUCCGCGCUGCAUUAGCUAGUUGGUAAGGUAACGGCUUACCAAGGCAACGAUGCAUAGCCGACCUGAGAGGGUGAUCGGCCACACUGGAACUGAGACACGGUCCAGACUCCUACGGGAGGCAGCCGUAGGGAAUCUUCCGCAAUGGGCGAAAGCCUGAAGGAGCAACGCCGCGUGAGUGAUUAAGGUCUUCGGAUCGGAAAACUCUGUUAUUAGGGAAGAACAUAUGUGUAAGUAACUGUGCACAUCUUGACGGUACCUAAUCAGAAAGCCACGGCUAACUACGUG
RNAcentral lists this ribosomal RNA (497 nucleotides) under uncultured bacterium. RNAcentral describes it as "partial 16S ribosomal RNA". It matches the Rfam family "Bacterial small subunit ribosomal RNA", at positions 28 to 507 of the family's 1533-position model. The record is from RNAcentral.